Molecule: long non-coding RNA, 2011 nt
Organism: Syngnathoides biaculeatus (alligator pipefish)
Lineage: Eukaryota; Metazoa; Chordata; Actinopteri; Syngnathiformes; Syngnathidae
Exons: 6
Source: RefSeq, a predicted model, not a curated record
CAUGGACACAGGACACAAGAAAACCUGACACGACAAAUCAAAACCAGGUCGGCAAAAACAAAGGUUUACAAGUGGGUCAUUUUGUCCCGCACUGCUAUGUUGCCAGAUGACGUUUUACCAGUCCAAAUCAUAUCACGAAUAACUGCUGGGGAAGAGAAAGCCAAAGAAAAAGCAAAAUGCGUGAAGAAAUAAGACUUCAAUGCAGCCACUGCAGUUCAUAUAAGCUGUGAGAUCAAGCAGACUGGAGAAUCUGCGUCCCCUGCAUGCCGGAACAGUUUUACCGCUUCCUCUGUGAUUUCUUCGUAUUUUGAUUGAAGUUUCAUCGAGGAUCAGAGUCGAUCAAUCCAAUGGAACAGAAUUAAACGGACCUCUGACUCUCUGGAUGAGUGGCAUCUCUAAAGCCAAACAGCCCUAACAUCCAUUUUCAGUCCAUCUUCUUUGGAAGAUCAACCUCGGUGUACUUUUAUCUGGCAAAAGAUGUGCGCUUACGUCUCAAAAGUGCUGGCAACAACAUCAAGCGACGGCCCUUCACUCUCCUCUUUGAACGCGCUUCACCCUCAGAUGAUAAAAAACGGGGUUCGUACCUGCGCUGCUGCAGGCUGACCGAUGUGACCUCCUCCUGUGGGGCGGCGUCCUCCUGACACCGACGCAAGACAGCCGAGGCGACUAAAUACGCUCCUUCAUCUUCCUCGUUGAUCCACGGAUGUCAAAAUGUGCCCAAAUUAGUCAUUAGUAUCGGAGUUAUGCUGAUUUUAAUGUCAAAUAAUAUCAUGCUGGCUACCACUAUCUUCACAAGAUGAUGAGACCUUAAAUCGGAGACUUAUAUAUGCAGAGAUUUUCUUACCCUGGACCAUAGAAUUGACUAAAAAUCUCUAUGUAUGUGUUCAAAGUAGAGCUUGAGUGAUUCAGUACCAUGCUUGUAAUGCAAAAACAAUCUCAAAUCUCCUUCCCCCAUUAAAAUGAGUGGAAAUGCCAUUAAUCUGUUCUGGUCUAGGAAAAAAAAAGUUGUGUGAUAUGCUUUUGGAUGCAAAGAAUGAAGAACAAUUUUGCUUCAUUCUUCAUUGGCGUGCACGAAUGAGUUACUUUGGGGUAGUGUAAUACAGGCAUAUGGAUAUGCAGUACAUAAAGCAGACAGUAACCCUUUCUUAGUAUGCUGCAGUAAUUUUGCCAUUCUUUGAAGAGGAUAAAGAAUUUAUGCUUUUAAGUAUUGUUAUAUUUUCUUUAUAUUGUCUUUGGGCUUCUUCCACCUAUUUAAUGUAGCAAAAGGAGACUACGUCAUAGGAAACACAGCAAACAUGAUGUAUUUUUGUUAUAAUUCAUAUUUUUCAUGGUUUAUGUUUGUAUUUGUUAUAAUUUUCAUUUUUUGCAAUAUUUUGUGACUUUUUUAUUUUAUCGGAAUGAAAGACGUGCAGCAACUUUUUGGAAUGACCAAAUUUAUUUUUUUUAUAUAUAAAUUACAUUGUAUUGAUUGUAGGAGGCUCAAAUUGAAAGCAUUGGCCUCACAGUUCUGAGGUCCCAGGUUCAAUCCCGAACCCGCCCAUGUGGAGUUUGCAUGUUCUUCCCGUGCCUGCGUGGGUUUCCUCCGGGCACUCCGGUUUCCUCCCACAUCCCAAAACAUGCAACAUUAAUUGAACACUCUAAAUUGGCCCUCGGUAUGACUGUGAGUGCGCCUGUUGUCUGUCUCCAUCUACCCUGCGAUUGGCUGGCAACCAGUUCAGGGUGUAAUCCGCCUCCUGCCCAUUGACAGCUGGGAUAGGCUCCAGCACUCCCCGCGACCCUCAUGAGGAUAAGCGGCUAACAAACUAGAUGGAUGUAUUGAUUGUCCUGACAAAGUGCUUCAUUAAUAUGCUCCCCAGGCUACUGUGACUACACUAUGUUGUACUUUAACUGAAAAUGGCUGGGCGUAUAAUUUUCAAGUACAGUAUCCAUUACAAAAUAAGAGCGUCGAGUCAUAGUUAUUUUCUCUUAAAAGCAUUGUAGUAUUUUUGUACAGAAUUGUCCUGAAAUUGUA